UAAGGAUCGGCUAACUCCGUGCCAGCAGCCGCGGUAAUACGGAGGAUCCGAGCGUUAUCCGGAUUUAUUGGGUUUGAAGGGUGCGUAGGCGGUUUGAUAAGUCAGCGGUGAAAUAUUUCAACUUAACUGAAAGGGUGCCGUUGAUACUGUCAGGCUUGAAUAUGGUUGCUGUGGGUGGAAUGUGUGGUGUAGCGGUGAAAUGCUUAGAUAUCACACAGAAUAUCGAUUGCGAAGGCAGCUCACAAAGCCAUUAUUGACGCUGAUGCACGAAAGUGUGGGGAUCAAACAGGAUUAGAUACCCUGGUAGUCCACACUGUAAACGAUGAUAACUCGCUGUCGGCGAUACACAGUCGGUAGCCAAGCGAAAGCGAUAAGUUAUCCACCUGGGGAGUACGACCGCAAGGUUGAAACUCAAAGGAAUUGACGGGGGCCCGCACAAGCGGAGGAACAUGUGGUUUAAUUCGAUGAUACGCGAGGAACCUUACCCGGGCUCGAACGGUGCAGGAAUAUGUCAGAGAUGGCAUAGCUAGCAAUAGUCUGUAUCGAGGUGCUGCAUG
This 557-nucleotide ribosomal RNA is filed under the name uncultured bacterium. Its description in RNAcentral is "bacterial SSU rRNA". It matches the Rfam family "Bacterial small subunit ribosomal RNA", at positions 487 to 1047 of the family's 1533-position model. The record is from RNAcentral.